GAGUUUGAUCGUGGCUCAGAUUGAACGCUGGCGGCAUGCCUUACACAUGCAAGUCGAGCGGCAGCGCGGGGGCAACCCUGGCGGCGAGCGGCGAACGGGUGAGUAAUACAUCGGAACGUGUCCUUUCGUGGGGGAUAACCAGUCGAAAGACUGGCUAAUACCGCAUGAGAUCUCACGAUGAAAGCGAGGGACCGCAAGGCCUCGCGCGAUUGGAGCGGCCGAUGUCGGAUUAGCUAGUUGGCGGGGUAAUGGCCCACCAAGGCGACGAUCCGUAGCUGGUUUGAGAGAACGACCAGCCACACUGGGACUGAGACACGGCCCAGACUCCUACGGGAGGCAGCAGUGGGGAAUUUUGGACAAUGGGGGCAACCCUGAUCCAGCCAUGCCGCGUGUGUGAAGAAGGCC
Molecule: ribosomal RNA, 405 nt
Filed under: uncultured beta proteobacterium
Lineage: Bacteria; Pseudomonadati; Pseudomonadota; Betaproteobacteria
Description: bacterial SSU rRNA
Rfam family: Bacterial small subunit ribosomal RNA
Source: RNAcentral